This 783-nucleotide ribosomal RNA is filed under the name uncultured bacterium. RNAcentral describes it as "bacterial SSU rRNA". It matches the Rfam family "Bacterial small subunit ribosomal RNA", at positions 8 to 796 of the family's 1533-position model. The record is from RNAcentral.
AGAGUUUGAUCCUGGCUCAGAUUGAACGCUGGCGGCAUGCCUUACACAUGCAAGUCGAACGGUAACAGGUCUUCGGACGCUGACGAGUGGCGAACGGGUGAGUAAUACAUCGGAACGUGCCCAGUCGUGGGGGAUAACUACUCGAAAGAGUAGCUAAUACCGCAUACGAUCUGAGGAUGAAAGCGGGGGACCUUCGGGCCUCGCGCGAUUGGAGCGGCCGAUGGCAGAUUAGGUAGUUGGUGGGAUAAAAGCUUACCAAGCCGACGAUCUGUAGCUGGUCUGAGAGGACGACCAGCCACACUGGGACUGAGACACGGCCCAGACUCCUACGGGAGGCAGCAGUAAGGAAUAUUGCUCAAUGGCCGAAAGGCUGAAGCAGCAACGCCGCGUGGGGGAUGAAGGGCUUUUGCUUGUAAACCCCUGUAGCGAGGGAAAAAAUCUCCAUUCUAUGGAGGAUGAUGGUACCUCGAAAGUAAGCGUCGGCUAACUACGUGCCAGCAGCCGCGGUAAUACGUAGGACGCAAACGUUGUCCGGAUUUACUGGGUGUAAAGGGUGCUCAGGCGGUCUUGUAAGUCAGUGGUGAAAUCCCGGAGCUCAACUCCGGAACUGCCUUUGAUACUACAAGGCUUGAGUAUGGAAGAGGUGGAUGGAAUUUCUGGUGUAGCAGUGAAAUGCGUAGAUAUCAGAAAGAACACCAGUGGCGAAGGCGGUCUACUGGUCCAUUACUGACGCUAAAGCACGAAAGCAUGGGGAGCAAACAGGAUUAGAUACCCUGGUAGUCC